RNAcentral lists this non-coding RNA (27 nucleotides) under Homo sapiens (human). Lineage: Eukaryota; Metazoa; Chordata; Mammalia; Primates; Hominidae. The record is from RNAcentral.
UGACUGCAGGUGAUCAGCCCACCUUGA